This 1405-nucleotide ribosomal RNA is filed under the name uncultured bacterium. Its description in RNAcentral is "bacterial SSU rRNA". It matches the Rfam family "Bacterial small subunit ribosomal RNA". The record is from RNAcentral.
UUAGAGUUUGAUCCUGGCUCAGGAUGAACGCUGGCGGCAUGCCUAAUACAUGCAAGUCGAACGGAGAAGGAAGGUGCUUGCAUCUUCCGGAUCAGUGGCGAACGGGUGAGUAACACGUAGGUAACCUGCCCAUGUACCCGGGACAACGGUUGGAAACGACUGCUAAAACCGGAUAGGCAUAUGGAAGGCAUCUUCGAUAUGUUAAAGGGGCCACGGCCCUGGACAUGGAUGGAUCUGCGGUGCAUUAGCCAGUUGGUGAGGUAACGGCCCACCAAGGCGACGAUGCAUAGCCGACCUGAGAGGGCGAACGGCCACAUUGGGACUGAGACACGGCCCAAACUCCUACGGGAGGCAGCAGUAGGGAAUUUUCGUCAAUGGAUGGAAAUCUGAUCCAGCCAUGCCGCGUGCAGGAAGACGGCCUUAUGGGUUGUAAACUGCUUUUAUACGGGAGCAAUAAGGGUUACGAGUAAUCCGAUGAGGGUACUGUAUGAAUAAGGAUCGGCUAACUCCGUGCCAGCAGCCGCGGUAAUACGGAGGAUCCGAGCGUUAUCCGGAAUUAUUGGGUUUAAAGGGUGCGUAGGCGGCCAUUUAAGUCAGCGGUGAAAUUUUGCAGCUUAACUGUAACAGUGCCGUUGGUACUGUUUGGCUAGGAUUUGGUUGUAGUGUGCGGAAUGUGUGGUGUAGCGGUGAAAUGCUUAGAUAUCACACAGAACACCGAUUGCGAAGGCAGCACACUAAGUCAUUAUUGACGCUGAGGCACGAAAGUGUGGGGAUCAAACAGGAUUAGAUACCCUGGUAGUCCACACUGUAAACGAUGAAACUCGCUGUCGGCCGAUACCCAAUCCGCGGCCAAGCGAAAGCAUUAAGUUAUCCCACCUGGGGAGUACGACCGCAAGGUUGAAACUCAAAGGAAAUGACGGGGGGCCCGCACAAGCGGAGGAACAUGUGGUUUAAUUCGAUGAUACGCGAGGAACCUUACCCGGGCUCGAACGGUGCAUGAAUAUACGAGAGAUUGUAUAGUCCUUCGGGACAUGUAUCGAGGUGCUGCAUGGUUGUCGUCAGCUCGUGCCGUGAGGUGUCGGCUUAAGUGCCAUAACGAGCGCAACCCUUGUCAUUAGUUGCCAUCAGGUCAAGCUGGGGACUUUAAUGAGACUGCCACCGUAAGGUGUGAGGAAGGGGGGGAUGACGUCAAAUCAGCACGGCCCUUAUGUCCGGGGCGACACACGUGUUACAAUGGGAGGUACAGAGGGCAGCUAUCCGGUGACGGAAUGCUAAUCUCCAAAACCUUUCUCAGUUCGGAUUGGAGUCUGCAACUCGACUCCAUGAAGGUGGACUCGCUAGUAAUCGCGCAUCAGCCAUGGCGCGGUGAAUACGUUCCCGGGCCUUGUACACACCGCCCGUCAAG